Long non-coding RNA from Saccostrea cuccullata (small rock oyster), 296 nucleotides. RefSeq lists it as uncharacterized. NCBI's taxonomy places the organism in Eukaryota, Metazoa, Mollusca, Bivalvia, Ostreida, Ostreidae. The record is from RefSeq and is a predicted model, not a curated record. The transcript is spliced from 3 exons.
CAAUGAACUACACAUGGACACUCUCAGGAUGGUCCCUUUGCUCUCAUUAAGAGUUCCAAGAUGAGGGUCUGAUUGACUGGGGUGUGAAAUGUAACAGCCAAUGGUGUACUUAAGCUAAGACUGUCAGUCCCAAUAUUCAAGAGGAAAAACCCCUACAUAAACAAAUACAUGGGCGCAGACAUUUUGGACACCCAAAGUUGUGCGGAGGAGAAAAUGCUACCUGGCGCGUGAUUGGUCAAUAAGAGAAAAGACUUGAUAUGUAUUUGACAAGUGAAAUAAAGUUGAUAAAAAUGUAA